Dreissena polymorpha is the source of this 224-nucleotide long non-coding RNA. RefSeq lists it as uncharacterized. The record is from RefSeq and is a predicted model, not a curated record. Lineage: Eukaryota; Metazoa; Mollusca; Bivalvia; Myida; Dreissenidae. The transcript has 3 exons.
AGGUUGUUUCAAGAUUGGAGGCCUCUAAGCGAGGCAAGAAUGAUAUUCCUGCAUCAGCCUCUAUAACUCUGACUGUGCUGUCUGCUGCCCCAGAAGGCACUGGUUCCAGUGUUCUACUUAAGCUGGCUUGUGAUAGGUAUUUGUUUAAUGCCCCAGAAUCUGUGCAGUUAUUCACAGAGAGUGUCAACAUCAAUAUGGUCAACAAUAUCUUCUUCACAAGAAAA